AAUUUCAUAGGAGAGAUAGGUGCCCUUUGGGGAGAAUAGGGAAUGAAGUGUAAAUCUUCAGCGGUCCCGCCACUGUGAAACGGAGCCGAUCACAAAAUGCCACUGGUUUUUCUGGGAAGGCGUGAAAGGCAUUGAUGUUGAGCCAGGAGACCUGCCUAUCUGCUUCUUGCCCC
RNAcentral lists this non-coding RNA (173 nucleotides) under Thermotalea metallivorans. Lineage: Bacteria; Bacillati; Bacillota; Clostridia; Peptostreptococcales; Thermotaleaceae. The record is from RNAcentral.